UACGUAGGGGGCAAGCGUUGUCCGGAUUUAUUGGGCGUAAAGAGCGUGUAGGCGGUUUGGUAGGUCCGUUGUGAAAACUCGAGGCUCAACCUCGAGACGCCGAUGGAAACCAUCUAACUAGAGUCCGGAAGAGGAGAAUGGAAUUCCUGGUGUAGCGGUGAAAUGCGCAGAUAUCAGGAAGAACACCCGUGGCGAAGGCGGUUCUCUAGUACGGUACUGACGCUGAGACGCGAAAGCGUGGGGAGCGAACAGG
Molecule: ribosomal RNA, 253 nt
Filed under: uncultured bacterium
Lineage: Bacteria
Description: partial 16S ribosomal RNA
Rfam family: Bacterial small subunit ribosomal RNA
Source: RNAcentral